UCUUUGUAAAUUGGUCUCAUUUUUAGUUCUCUCUCUUUUCUAAAGAUUUUCUCUUGCUCAGCUCUGCAGUUCUUUCUCUCUCCGAGUUUGGAAAGUGAAGUUGCUUCAGGGGCACAGAGGAACACUGUUGCGAUUUAAAAUAUGAGGAUAGUGUACAACUUGAACACCUGGAAAAUUGCGGAGGAUUCCUUUGGGGACAGCAUUGGCUCAUGCCAAAGAAAACUCUCCUAUUAACUUGGAGCCAAUCUAGAAGAAAUUUUAGAGAGCCAUACUUACAGCUUUGUUUAUCCCUUCAUCCAUGAGGGAUCCAAUACUCGCUACAUGCUUGUUUCGAGAAUCGGAGAAAAUAAGAUACCAGUUUUUUGCGGUUCCAUGGUCUUGGCAAAACCAAGAUUACUUCAUUUGUGAAAUAGGACUCAAAAUGUUAUCUUGUGAAUUGCUUACAAGUUAAGACAAUGAGAAGUUUUGCCCAUUGCUAACAAGAAAAAUAAAAUCAGAAAUUUGAAUUAA
This is a long non-coding RNA of Lycium barbarum (goji berry), 510 nucleotides long. RefSeq lists it as uncharacterized. Lineage: Eukaryota; Viridiplantae; Streptophyta; Magnoliopsida; Solanales; Solanaceae. The transcript has 3 exons. The record is from RefSeq and is a predicted model, not a curated record.